GAAAAAAGAAGACAACUAGUUUCUGUACCCAACGUUUGACUGUCCGUCUUUCAAAUUAUGAAAAAAAAUAAAAAGACAAGUCACGUAUAAAAUAUUAAUAAUAUUUUAUCAUCUAACAACAAUGAAAAUACGAAUUAUAAAAAAAUUUCAUAUAAGACGGACCGUCAAAGUUGGACACGGAAAUCCAGGGUUUGUCUUUUU
Non-coding RNA from Oryza glaberrima (African rice), 201 nucleotides. NCBI's taxonomy places the organism in Eukaryota, Viridiplantae, Streptophyta, Magnoliopsida, Poales, Poaceae. The record is from Rfam.